AGUGGCGAACGGGAGAGUAAUAUAUCGGAACGUGCCCAGUAGUGGGGGAUAGCCCGGCGAAAGCCGGAUUAAUACCGCAUACGACCCAUGGGUGAAAGCGGGGGAUCGCAAGACCUCGCGCUAUUGGAGCGGCCGAUAUCAGAUUAGCUUGUUGGUGGGGUAAAAGCCUACCAAGGCGACGAUCUGUAGCUGGUCUGAGAGGACGACCAGCCACACUGGGACUGAGACACGGCCCAGACUCCUACGGGAGGCAGCAGUGGGGAAUUUUGGACAAUGGGCGCAAGCCUGAUCCAGCCAUGCCGCGUGCGGGAAGAAGGCCUUCGGGUUGUAAACCGCUUUUGUCAGGGAAGAAACGGCUCCUACUAAUACUGGGGGCUAAUGACGGUACCUGAAGAAUAAGCACCGGCUAACUACGUGCCAGCAGCCGCGGUAAUACGUAGGGUGCAAGCGUUAAUCGGAAUUACUGGGCGUAAAGCGUGCGCAGGCGGCUUUGCAAGACAGAUGUGAAAUCCCCGGGCUCAACCUGGGAACUGCAUUUGU
Molecule: ribosomal RNA, 540 nt
Filed under: uncultured bacterium
Lineage: Bacteria
Description: bacterial SSU rRNA
Rfam family: Bacterial small subunit ribosomal RNA
Source: RNAcentral